UGGGGAAUAUUGGACAAUGGGGGGAACCCUGAUCCAGCCAUGCCGCGUGUGUGAAGAAGGCCUUAUGGUUGUAAAGCACUUUAAGGGAGGAGGAGGGUACUGGUAUAAAUACUACAAGUUACGGGACGUAACUCGCAGAAUAAGCACCGCCUAACUCGGUGCAAGCAGCCGCGGUAAUACAGAGGGUGCGAGCGUUAAUCGGAUUUACUGGGCGUAAAGCGUGCGUAGGCGGCUAAUUGAGUCGGAUGUGAAAUCCCCGAGCUUAACUUGGGAAUUGCAUUCGAUACUGGUUAGCUAGAGUGUGGGAGAGGAUGGUAGAAUUCCAGGUGUAGCGGUGAAAUGCGUAGAGAUCUGGAGGAAUACCGAUGGCGAAGGCAGCCAUCUGGCCUAACACUGACGCUGAGGUACGAAAGCAUGGGGAGCAAACAGG
RNAcentral lists this ribosomal RNA (430 nucleotides) under Pseudomonadota bacterium. RNAcentral describes it as "Proteobacteria bacterium partial 16S ribosomal RNA". It matches the Rfam family "Bacterial small subunit ribosomal RNA", at positions 355 to 776 of the family's 1533-position model. The record is from RNAcentral. Lineage: Bacteria; Pseudomonadati; Pseudomonadota.